RNAcentral lists this long non-coding RNA (4064 nucleotides) under Homo sapiens (human). RNAcentral's name for it is "HSALNT0371028". Lineage: Eukaryota; Metazoa; Chordata; Mammalia; Primates; Hominidae. The record is from RNAcentral.
GCGGAAAUGCAAGCCGAGCAUGCUGGCGUGAAAGCCCCCGGGGCCUGGCACCCCCAAAAACGACCCCCCACCUCCGUUCCUGCCCUCAUUGCCCAGGGCUACCCCUCUUCCUCUUCUUUCAUCCACCCCUCCCCCAACAUUACCUGUGUGGCCGACUCAAAUUCAAAGCAUUUUGUAUAUAUAACUGUUUUCUUUUUUUGCUUUUCUGCUGCAUGUCUUUUUCGUGGGGGGUGAUCCUCUGCAGAUCCCCCCAUUUGCGGACCCGCCAUGUGGAGGAGGCAUUUGGGGGGCUCAGAAGGAAAUUAGCUCGGCUUCCAUACCUAUAAGGACUGCCUAACUUUUAAACUCCCGGCACUCAAAGAUGUGGACACACACACGUACAGGAAAUACAGCCAGACCAGAGCCUUUGCAGUCCGCAGCUGACCGGAAGACGUUGCCUUUCAUUCAUUCAUUCUGCCCGCCUCUGUGGACUCCUUUACUAGGCGACCAGCCCUGAAACAGAAGUUGGACAUUUUUUAAAGGUUCUUGCGCUCGGCAAGGGGAGCAGAUAGAUGCUCAGGAGCGAAAGACGCAGAGAAUUGGAUCUGGCGCCUCCUAACGCAGCCCGCACAGGAGCGAAGGAGAGUGUGACGAUCCCCCUGAUGCGGCUGAGAUGUUCUGAAAUGAAGACGUUGGCUCUCAUCCCCAGCCUGAAGAGAGAAAAUUCUGAGAUGGCUCCCUUACAGAUUGAGAGCAGAUACGGGGUUUCACCGUGCUAGCCAGGAUGAUCUCGAUCUACUGACCUCGUGAUCCGCCCGCCUCGGCCUCCCAAAGUGCUGGGAUUAUAGGCGUGAGCCACCGCGCCCGGCGGCUGUGGCUAAUUAUUAGGCACUGGGUAGGAACACAGCCAAGAACGAUUGCAGGAUGGGUCCUUCCAGGACACUGACGUCUCAGCUUGCGCACUGUGAGUCCCUGGACGAGUUACUCCACCUCUCUGAACCUCCUCCUCACUUGCAUAAUGGGAAAAAUAAUGGACAUAGGAAGAUGAAACAAGACCUUGGAGACCACAUUUACCAUCUUAUUUUCCUUGUUCCUUUUUCUUUUCUUUUUUUGUUUUUGUUUGUUUGUUUUUUGGAGACAGGGUCUCACUCUGUCACCCAGGCUGGCGUGCAAUGGCGCGAUCUCAGCUCACUGCAGCCUCUGCCUCCUGUGUUCAAGGGAUCCUCCCACCUCAGCCUCCCGGGUAGCUGGCACCACAGACGCACACCACCAUGCCUGGCUAAAUUUUUUUGUAUUUUUAGUAGAAGUGGGGUUUUACCAUGUUGGCCAGGCUGUUCUCGAACUCCUGGCCUCAAGUGAUCCGUCCACCUCGGCCUCCCAAAGUGCUGGGAUUACAGGCGUGAACCACUGAGCCCGGCCCCUUGUUCCCUGUUCUGUUUCUUUUUCACUGUUAUCACUGAUCACCAUCGAUCAUAUUAUCUACAUAUCUAUUAGAUUGGCGCAAAAGUAAUUGCUGUUUUUGCCAUUACCUCCAAUGGCAUUACUUUCAGUGGCAAAAACUGCAAUUACUUUUGCGCCAACCUAAUAUAUUGAGACAGGGUCUCUCUCUGUCACCCAGGCUGCUGGAGGGCAGUGACACAAUCACAGCUCACUGCCAUGUCCAACUCCUGGAUUCAAGUGAUCCUCCCGCCUCAGUCUCCUGAUUACCUGGGACUACAGGCAUGUAUCACCACACCCAGCCGGUUUUUUUGUUUGUUUGUUUUUGAAACAGUUUUGCUUUUGCCCCCCAGGCUGGAGUGCAAUGGCAUGAUCUUGGUUCACUGCAACCUCUGCCUCCGGGGUUCAAGCGAUUCUCCUGUCUCAGCCUCCCAAGUAGCUGGGAUUACAGGUGCCUACCACCACACCUGGCUAAUUUUUGGUUUUGUGGGUGUGUGUGUGUGUGUGUGUGUGUGUGUGUGUGUGUGUUGGAGUCUGGCUCUGUCACCCAGGCUGCUGGAGUGCAAUGGCGCAAUCUUCAGCUCACUGCAACCUCUGCCUCCUGGGUUUAAGCAAUUCUCCUGCCUCAGACUCCUGAGUAGCUGAGAUUACAGGUGUCCACCACCACGCCCGGCUAAUUUUUGUAUUUUUAGUAGAGACAGGGUUUCACCGUGUUGGCCAGGCUGGUCUCCAUCUCCUGACCUCAGGUGAUCCACCUGCCUCAGCCUCCCAAAGUGCUGGGACUACAGGCGUGAGCCACCACGCCCGGCUCAAGUUUCUCUUUUUCUUUUUUUUUUUUUACAUUUUGUAGAGACAGGGUCUCACUAUGUUGCCCAGGCUGGUCUUGAACUCCUGAUCUCAAGCAAUCCUCCCUCUCUGGCUCCCGAAGUGCGGGGAUAAUAGGCAUGAACCACUGUGCACAGCCCAUAUUUUAUAUUCUACUUAACUGAGUUUCUUUAGUUUUUAUUCCUCCCACUAGGAUGUCUGUUUUGUUUACCUCCAUAUCUCCAGCCCCUAGAACAGAACUUGGUUCAUGGUGGGUUCAGUAACUAUUUGAAUUAAAUGAAUAGAUGGACGUAAAAUGGUUAGUACUGCGGUGCCCAGUAAUGGUAGGUAUCAAACUUAGUCUCUGUGCUCCAACAGAAAGCAGUGUAAUUUAAGAUGGGCACAGUGGGCUGGGCGCGGUGGCUCACACCUGUAAUCCCAGCACUUUGGGAGGCCGAGGCAGGUGGAUCACCUGGGGUCAGGAGUUCGAGACCAGCCUGACCAAAAUGGCGAAACCCUGUGUCUACUAAAAAUACAAAAAUUAGCCAGGCGUGGUGGCAGGCGCCUGUAAUCCCAGCUACUCAGGAAGCUGAGGCAUGAGAAUCUCUUGAACCUGGGAGGCGUGGGUUGCAGUGAGCCGAGAUGACGUCGUUGCAGUGAGCCGAGAUGACGUCAUUGCACUCCAGCCUGGGAGACGAGCGAAACUCCAUCUCAAAAUCAAACAAACAAACAAACAAACUGUUCCUGGCAUGUUGUAGGUGACUAAUACCUGCUAAUUUACUGUUUUCUCUUUUUUUUUCUUUCUUUCUUUCUUUUUUUUUUUUUUGAGACAGAGUCUUGCUGUGUUGCCCAGGCUGAAGUGCAGUGUUGCGAUCUCGGCUCACUGCAACCUCCGCCUCCUGGUUCAAGAGAUUCUCCUGCCUUAGCCACCCCAGUAGCUAGAAUUACAGGUGCCCGCCACCAUGCCCAGCUAAUUUUUGUAUUUUUAGUAGAGACGGGGUUUUACCAUAUUGGCCAGGCUGGUCUCUAACUCCUGACAUCGUGAUCCGUCUGCCUUGGCCACCCAUAAUACUGGGAUUGCAGGCAUGAGCCACCGCACCCGGCCUUUUUUUUUCUUUCUUUCUUUCUUUUUUUUUUUUUUUAAGACGGAGUUUUGCUAUCGUUGCCUGGGCUGGAGUGCAAUGGCACGAUCUCGGCUCACUGCAACUUCCACCUCUCAGGUACAAGCAAUUCUUCCACCUCAUCCCCCCAAGUAGCUGGGAUUACAGGAAUGCACCAGCACGCCUGGCUAAUUUUGUAUUUUCAGUAGAGACGGGGGUCUCUCCAUGUUGGUCAGGCUGGUCUCGAACUCCCGACCUUAGGUGAUCUGUCCGCCUCGGCUUCCCAAAGUGCUAGGAUUACAGGCGUGAGCCACCGCGCCUGGCCUUUUUCUUUCUUUUUUUUAGACAGGAUCUGGCUGUGUUGGCUAUGCUGACGUACACAGCUCGCUGCAGCCUCAACCACCCAGGCUCAAAUGAUCCUUCUGCCUCAGCCUCCUGAGUAGCUGAGACCACAGGUGCAUGCCACUACACCUGGCUAAUUUUUUAAAAAAAUUUUAUAGAGGCAGAGUCUCUCUAUGUUGCCCAGGCUGGUCUCAAACUACUGGGCUCAAGCAGUCCUCCUGCCUAGGCUUCCCAAAGUAUUGGGAUUACAGGCAUGAGGCACCACACCAGGCAUUUCUUUCUUUUUAGAGAUGGGGUCUUGCUAUGUUACCCAGGCUGGUCUUGAACUCUUGAGCUAAAGAGAUUCUCCCUUCUCAGCCUCUCGACGAGCUGGGAAUACAAGCACACACCAGUACACCGAGC